This 613-nucleotide ribosomal RNA is filed under the name uncultured euryarchaeote. RNAcentral's name for it is "bacterial SSU rRNA". It matches the Rfam family "Archaeal small subunit ribosomal RNA", at positions 83 to 694 of the family's 1478-position model. The record is from RNAcentral. Lineage: Archaea; Methanobacteriati; Methanobacteriota.
GUCUCAGUAACACGUGGCCAAGCUACCCUGUGGACGGGAAUACUCUCGGGAAACUGAGACUAAUCCCCGAUAACGCUUUGCUCCUGGAAGGGGCAAAGCCGGAAACGUUCCGGCGCCACAGGAUGCGGCUGCGGUCGAUUAGGUAGACGGUGGGGUAACGGCCCACCGUUCCCAUAAUCGGUACGGGUUGUGAGAGCAAGAGCCCGGAGACGGAAUGUGAGACAAGAUUCCGGGCCCUACGGGGCGCAGCAGGCGCGAAACCUUUACACUGUACGAAAGUGCGAUAAGGGGACUCCGAGUGUGAAGGCAUAGAGCCUUCACUUUUGUACACCGUAAGGCGGUGCACGAAUAAGGGUGCAUCCUGGGCAAGACCGGUGCCAGCCGCCGCGGUAAUACCGGCAGUCCGAGUGAUGGCCGAUCUUAUUGGGCCUAAAGCGUCCGUAGCUGGCUGAACAAGUCCGUUGGGAAAUCUGUCCGCUUAACGGGCAGGCGUCCAGCGGAAACUGUUCAGCUUGGGACCGGAAGACCUGAGGGGUACGUCUGGGGUAGGAGUGAAAUCCUGUAAUCCUGGACGGACCGCCGGUGGCGAAAGCGCCUCAGAGAACGGAUCCGA